RNAcentral lists this transfer RNA (72 nucleotides) under Ololygon sp. KAV3. RNAcentral's name for it is "tRNA-Val". It matches the Rfam family "tRNA". From Rfam's summary of the family: Transfer RNA (tRNA) molecules are approximately 80 nucleotides in length. Their secondary structure includes four short double-helical elements and three loops (D, anti-codon, and T loops). Lineage: Eukaryota; Metazoa; Chordata; Amphibia; Anura; Hylidae. The record is from RNAcentral.
CACAACGUAGCUCAAUCCUUAAAGCACCUUGCUUACACCAAGAAGAUAUUUGUUAAAACCAAAUCGUUAUGA